Molecule: ribosomal RNA, 253 nt
Filed under: uncultured bacterium
Lineage: Bacteria
Description: partial 16S ribosomal RNA
Rfam family: Bacterial small subunit ribosomal RNA
Source: RNAcentral
UACGGGGGGGGCAAGCGUUGUCCGGAAUUACUGGGCGUAAAGGGCGCGUAGGCGGCCUGCUAAGUCGGAUGUGAGAUCCCUCGGCUCAACCGAGGAACUGCAUCCGAUACUGGCGGGCUUGAAUCCGGGAGAGGGAUGUGGAAUUCCAGGUGUAGCGGUGAAAUGCGUAGAUAUCUGGAGGAACACCGGUGGCGAAGGCGGCAUCCUGGACCGGUAUUGACGCUGAGGAGCGAAAGCCAGGGGAGCAAACGGG